This 406-nucleotide ribosomal RNA is filed under the name uncultured bacterium. RNAcentral's name for it is "partial 16S ribosomal RNA". It matches the Rfam family "Bacterial small subunit ribosomal RNA", at positions 29 to 526 of the family's 1533-position model. The record is from RNAcentral.
AUUGAACGCUGGCGGCAGGCCUAACACAUGCAAGUCGAGCGAGCGGCGGACGGGUGAGUAAUGUCUGGGAAACUGCCCGAUAGAGGGGGAUAACUACUGGAAACGGUGGCUAAUACCGCAUACCAUCGGAUGUACCCAGAUGGGAUUAGCUAGUAGGUGGGGUAAUGGCUCACCUAGGCGACGAUCCCUAGCUGGUCUGAGAGGAUGACCAGCCACACGGGAACUGAGACACGGGCCAGACUCCUACGGGAGGCAGCAGUGGGGAAUAUUGCACAAUGGGCGCAAGCCUGAUGCAGCCAUGCCGCGUGUGUGAAGAAGGCCGUCGGGUUGUAAAGCACUUUCAGCGAGGAGGCGUUACCCGCAGAAGAAGCACCGGCUAACUCCGUGCCAGCAGCCGCGGUAAUAC